UAUCUCUGUAGAGUCUGCAUAUCAAUAAGCGGAGGAAAAGAAACUAACAAGGAUUCCCCUAGUAACGGCGAGUGAAGCGGGAAGAGCUCAAAUUUGAAAUCUUCAAGGUUUUACCUUGACGAAUUGUAGUUUAAAGAAGUGUUUUCGGUUAGAGGAGUAGUAAAAGUUCUUUGGAAUAGGACAUCAUAGAGGGUGAGAAUCCCGUAUUUGGUCAUUCUUUCUAGCUUUGUGAUACACUUUCAACGAGUCGGAUUGUUUGGGAAUGCAGUCCAAAAUGGGUGGUAAAUUUCAUCUAAAGCUAAAUAUUGGCGAGAGACCGAUAGCGAACAAGUACCGUGAGGGAAAGAUGAAAAGAACUUUGAAAAGAGAGUUAAACAGUACGUGAAAUUGUCAAAAGGGAAGCGUUUGACACCAGUGUUGUUUUUCCGAAAAUCAAUUACGAAUGUUUUGUUUUUGAGAAGUUAUGACUUCAUCGGCUUGCUUCUUUCUUUACGAAACUUUCUUAAUGCACUUUUCGGUUAACAAGUCAACAUCAAUUUCUUUUGUUGUAAAAGGGUAUGAGGAAGGUGGCUUUCUUUUCGGAGAAAGUGUUUAUAGCCUUUGGCCUCUGCAAUCGGAGAGAUUGAGGUCUGCAGCGUAGAUCCUUCGGGGUUAGAUACAUUUGUGCUAAGUUAUAGCCUUUCAUAGACAACUUGUUGACUAUGAUCAGUCAUGUAGCUUACUCGCUUAUGCUAUUUUACCUACGCUUAGGAUGUUGACGCAUGAGAUAUACGC
This 774-nucleotide ribosomal RNA is filed under the name uncultured Neocallimastigales. Its description in RNAcentral is "partial large subunit ribosomal RNA". It matches the Rfam family "Eukaryotic large subunit ribosomal RNA", at positions 24 to 647 of the family's 3401-position model. The record is from RNAcentral. Lineage: Eukaryota; Fungi; Neocallimastigomycota; Neocallimastigomycetes; Neocallimastigales.